This is a long non-coding RNA of Sapajus apella (tufted capuchin), 405 nucleotides long. RefSeq lists it as uncharacterized. The record is from RefSeq and is a predicted model, not a curated record. NCBI's taxonomy places the organism in Eukaryota, Metazoa, Chordata, Mammalia, Primates, Cebidae. The transcript is spliced from 2 exons.
UGAAGAUUUUUCUGUGAAGUAGAAACGAUUCUUGUGACAAAUCUUUCAUCCUUCUCAUUCCCUUGCAGACUUCCUCCCCUGACUUUCCCUCAGGUUUGAUGAUUGACCACGUAGCAACUGUAAUAUGGGACGGAGGCAUAUUCUGACUCUGCUCAGAGAGGGCCACUUCCUUGUGAUAUGGGUGACAUUUUGACUUAUUCCUCUCCUCAACAUACCAGAGGCCACUCUGACUCCAGGGAUGACCAGAAGAAGAUGCAACCCAGACCAUUCAUGCCCAUGUUUCUGAGUUCUAGAGAUUAUUUGUAGUUGUACUGGGACAUCCCAGUUCAGAUACGCUACUUGCUUUCUUUGACUCCCGCAGGCAUUUGUAGGCUAUUCCCUAAAGCUAGAAAGGGAUCAAGGAAG